CAGAAGUGUUCCUAUUCUGAUCAUCAGCAGAUCUAAAGGGCAGCUCCACCAAAACCAAAAUAAUAUUCUACUCAAAAUAUUACAAAAAUGUGGAUAGUAUGUGCAAAGCCAAGAGUGAAUGUGCCUUCAGCCCUGACCAAAGACACAUGUGAGCACAACACAACACGUUAGCACCAGCCCACCAGCCUCAGCUUGUCCUUAUUAGAGAGUUACAGCCAAGGAGCCAAAGAAUCCUAACUGAAUCUUAUUAAUAAUAAUGGGCUUCAAAUGAGAUGGACAAGAGCAGCCAUAUGUCAAAGAUGGACGUUAUAACAGGAAGGUUUCUUGCAGAAGAUACCAUAAUUGACAGCACAGUAAUUGGAACAGAGCAAUGGCUUAUUGAUAGGACAGCUUCUGGACCUCAAUGUGGACCUCUACUGUGUGAUGGGGACUGUUUCACCCUGCCCUUGCCCUAUGGGACAGAUCUCCCAUAACAGCUCUUUGGUGUGCUCUGAUCUCUGGAGAGAAGGUUGGUCUUCACCACCCAACUUCACCCAGGCAACAUGGGGACGGAACGGGCCUAAUCUCUUCACCACAGUACUCAGUUAUUACUGGAACUGGAAACAACAGGAUUUAUUGCUCUUUGAGGGUGAUAGAAGACCCCAAGCACCAACGCAGCCAGAGGGGUAGAAAAAGGCCCAUCUUCCCCCCGGACCUGCCCUGGAAAAUGAUUGUUUUCUCUUGGUGGCAGUAGGGUGUUACAUCUCAGACAUUCUUUAAUCUAUUUAAGCUGAGCAGCAAAGGAAACAGAAAGCGAUGAGGAAAGACUGAAGAGGAUCUUGGUGGGUGAGGGAAGGUGAUGUGGUCACCUCUGCACCAAGGAAGUGGAGGGGAAGGAUUGCCAGAACACAGCAGUCUCCGAGAGCUCCAUGCCUCAGCCCAUAUAAGCCACAGGUUUGCAGAGGAGGGACAGGGCGCAGAGAUGUGACAUCAGCAGAUGAGGAGAGUUUCUCCCAGAGCCCAGCACCAUAGGGACUGGCUGGCAGCAGCUCAGUGCUGGGAGGGGAGCACUUGCCCUCCAUUGUCCUGUCCCCACAGUGUACUCUGAAAGCCUUCUGAUGCCUCAACAGUGUUCAUUUCCAGUAAUACUUCCCAAUUACCAACUAUCACGUUUUUGUAAUGCAAGCAAAUUUGCAUAAUGCUGAAGGCAAAUUAAUAUGAAAAUCGAAAUACAAAUUUUGACAUUUCCUCCACCAAAAAAAAAAAAAGAAGAGAAAUACUCUUCCACUUUCAUCCUUGAUGGUAAUGGUGAGGGAUGCUUAGUGAGGAACAUGCUCUGGCUUCAUUGGCACUGCUCAUACCUUGGAUGAGUGAUGAGGAAAUUCCUGCAUGUGCAGUCCUGCCAGCAGCAAAAGCCAAGCCCCUGCUGAAGCCUCCGGCACUAUGGGGCAUUUCACAAGUUAUGACUUUGCAGAUCAGGGCUUUCUAGAUGGAGAGUGAAUCAUGGCUUGCCAGUGUAAAAUUAGAGGAGACCAAUUUUAAAUAAAACCUUAUAGGCUCACA
RNAcentral lists this long non-coding RNA (1542 nucleotides) under Numida meleagris (helmeted guineafowl). Its description in RNAcentral is "lncRNA (ENSNMEG00000015367.1)". Lineage: Eukaryota; Metazoa; Chordata; Aves; Galliformes; Numididae. The record is from RNAcentral.